This 410-nucleotide ribosomal RNA is filed under the name uncultured bacterium. Its description in RNAcentral is "bacterial SSU rRNA". It matches the Rfam family "Bacterial small subunit ribosomal RNA", at positions 355 to 781 of the family's 1533-position model. The record is from RNAcentral.
UGGGGAAUCUUGGACAAUGGGGGCAACCCUGAUCCAGCCAUGCCGCGUGAGUGAUGAAGGCCUUAGGGUCGUAAAGCUCUUUCGCCUGUGAAGAUAAUGACGGUAGCAGGUAAAGAAACCCCGGCUAACUCCGUGCCAGCAGCCGCGGUAAUACGGAGGGGGUUAGCGUUGUUCGGAAUUACUGGGCGUAAAGCGCACGUAGGCGGACCAGAAAGUUGGGGGUGAAAUCCCGGGGGCUCAACCCCGGAACUGCCUCCAAAACUAUUGGUCUAGAGUUCGAGAGAGGUGAGUGGAAUUCCAAGUGUAGAGGUGAAAUUCGUAGAUAUUUGGAGGAACACCAGUGGCGAAGGCGGCUCACUGGCUCGAUACUGACGCUGAGGUGCGAAAGUGUGGGGAGCAAACAGGAUUAG